CCAAUAUUCUUGUGAAAAAUCAUGAGGGUUCGACUUCGACCUACCAGCCGCCCUAAUUCCAAACGCGCCGUUUCACCCUUCUAAAUUCCCCUCCCCGAACCCUAAUUCCACAAAUUCUUCUCAAUUCCGAAUUCGUCCGCCCCUGCUGCUGUCGUCGUGUUCGUAGUCGGCGGCCAUGUUUCCGUGGAACAUCGCGAAGUCGGCGGAGGCGAUGUUCUCGCGGUGGGCCGUGAAGAGAGUAUGCAAGUUCCUGUUGAAGAAGAAGUUGGGGCAGUUCAUAUUGGGUGACAUCGACGCCGACCAGCUCGAUGUCCAGCUCUCCGAGGGCACCAUUCAGCUCAACGACCUCGCGCUUAACGUCGAUUUUCUUAAUCAGAAUUUCGGUGCAGCAGCAUCGGUGAUAAUAAAAGAAGGAUCUAUUGGCUCCCUAUUAGUUAGAAUGCCUUGGAAGGGCAAAGGUUGUGAGGUUGAAGUGGAUGAACUGGAGCUGGUGUUAAAUCUGUGCGCAGAGAAUAACACACCAGCUAGUGCCGAAAGUUGCAACCUGGAUAAGGAUGCCAACCCAGGGACGUUAGAUGGUGACAUGGCAGACGAUGCUGCAAAAUCUGCUUCCAGGGAUGUGCAUGAAGGUGUUAAAACAAUUGCAAAGAUGGUAAAGUGGUUUCUCACGAGCUUCCACGUAACGAUAAAAAGGUUGAUUGUUGCAUUUGAUCCUUGUUUAGAGAAGAAUGGAAAGACAUUAGGGUGUUCCUCAACCUUAGUGCUUCGAAUUUUAGAAACAGAAUGUGGAACAUGUGUUUCUGAAGAUGAUAGUCAAAAUUCUGAUGCAAGAUUUGACAACUUUCUUGGGAUUAGUCAAUUGACCAACUUUGUCAAGUUUCAAGGAGCAUCGCUUGAGCUGCUUCAAAUGAAUGAUGCUGACAAUCAAACAUGCAGUCCAUGCCAGUCAGAAAGAACAUUUGGCGAAUUUUUUCCAGGGUGCCGUCCACCGGGUGCCACCACUCCAAUAUUGGUUGGAAAAAGAGGGGGAUUUUCAGGGAAUAUAAAAUUAAGCAUACCUUGGAAGAAUGGGUCUUUAGACAUUCGUAAAGUAGAUGCAGAUGUUUCUAUUGAACCUUUAGAAUUAAGAUUUCAGCCCAGCACAACUAAAUGGAGUUUACUUGCUUGGGAAAAAUACAAAAAUCUGGUGAAAGACAAGAGCAAUCAUAAGCCAGCGGAUUCUGUUUAUCUUGAUUCAACAUCUCACUGUAUUUCACCAAGGUCUGUUUGUUCGACAACAGAUAAGGUGAGGCCAAGUUGUGGUAGUUUUCCGACUGAAUCAUCUUCUUUUACCCUGCAAGAAUCAGUGGCUGAACCUCUGCUGCCUGGGUCACAUCUUAUAUUAGAUUGGGUACCCUUUUUCAUCCAUCAAAAUAAAAAAGAUGGUAUUGAAGAACUUGAUUUUGGUGCAAGUGUGGAUCAGUUUUUUGAAUGUUUUGAUGGAAUGAGAAGUUCCCAAUCAGCAUUAGGUAACAGUGGCAUGUGGAACUGGACGUGUUCUGUUUUCACUGCUAUCACAGCUGCAUCGAGCCUUGCUUCCGGAUCUUUGCAUGUUCCACCUGAGCAGCAGCAUGUUGAAACAAAUCUUAAAGCAGCUUUAGCUGGGAUUUCUGUUGUCUUUUCAUUUCAAGAUGAAAAGCAGAAGCAUUUUUGUGAUAAUAAGGUGGUUGAUUCAGAUGUUCUGUACCUAGGUGCAGAAUGCCGAGACAUCCUUCUUGUUACGCAGGUAUGCCCCCAAGAGAUAAGGUUCAAAGGAACAAUGGAGUAUAUCGAGGUUGCUAAUUACUCAAGUUACGAAGAAGAUACCUCUGAGUUUGGCUUUCAAAGGUCUAAUACCAAUAUUAACAGCCAUACUCUUUUGGUUCAACAUCUUCAAGCUGAUGUUCAAAGUGUUCUUCCACUGCUUCCCUCAUCUUUUGAAGAUACAGUUGUAGAGGUUCCAUUUGGGUAUAAGGAUGUAGUCAGAACUACUUUACUUAAAACUUCAGGUGUUACUCACUGUCAGUUUACUGUGAGUUCUAGUACUUCAAAUGGGAGUUUAUGCGGGACAUCAUUUUCACUGAAACUGCCACAUUUUGUUUUUUGGGUGGACUUCUCUUUGCUAAAUAUGCUAUUAGAACUGUCUAAUGAAGUGGGAAAGCCUGUCAAAGCGAAUGGUAAUCAGACUGAGUUUUCUUCUGAGUCCUCUAAUAAGAAGCAUGGAUCAUCUCAUGGGGAUCUUAGAAGAUCUUCUAGUCGUGUUAAGACCUUGUCUUCAACAGAAACUCAGCGAGGUGAUAUAUUGAUUCCUAAUGCAAGGAUAAUUCUCUGUUUUCAUGACAAAGGUGGUAAAGAUGUUAGAGGCUUCUCUUCCUGGGAUCAGUUUAUUGCUCUUGAGUUUUCUUCGCCAUCAAAUUUUAACAAAGGUGUUCAAGACCAUGGCCCAACUUUAGAUGCAAGGUCAGAGAAAAUGUAUUUUUCAACAGCCACACGUUCUUUACAUUUGAAUGUUGGUAAUCUGGACAUUUUCCUCGUCAGUCCUGCAAGUAAGGAUAAUGCUGGGAUCAGCUCUGGAAACAAGCAGAGGCAUACAUUUGCUGCAAAAAAAAUAAUGUCCGCCAGCAACAGUACGGGCCGUCUAUCUGUUAUUAGUAUGCUUUGGCAGGAGGGUUAUGUGACUGGCCCUUGGAUAGCAAAGAAAGCCAAGUGCUUAGCUGGUUUUGAGGAAUCAAGGAGCAUUUCUAAAUUUGUCGGCAAAGAUCAUGAAUUUGCUUCAGUAUCUACUAUUAAAGAUCUGCAAGAUUUGAAUUCUCAAACUCAACAGGAGAUUAUCUUGAGCUCCUCGUUUUCCCUACAUGUUUGUCUACCCUCUGUUUCAAUAAAUUUGGACUAUUCUCAAUAUAAAGGUUUAUAUUGUCUAUUAGAUCAAAUGUUAAAUGACUUAAACUCGGACUGUGAUUCAGUCAAUUUUAAGGAAGCAUCUUCCGCAUCCCAGACAUCUAUCCUUGUUAGAUGUGAUUCUGUUGAAAUUUUGAUUAGCCUGGAUGUGAAGGAGAUUGUCAAAAGCUCAAUACAGAGUGAACUUCCUGGGUCGUGGCAUCAGCUGAAACUGAAAAUUCAGAAGCUAGAUGUGCUGUCUGUCUCCAAUAUUGGAGGUGUAUCAGGUGCCGAUUUUUUCUGGCUGGCCCAUGGUGAAGGUAAAUUGUGGGGUUACAUAACUGGUAUUCCUGAUCAGGAGUUUCUUCUGAUUGCGUGCAGCAACUCAACAAUGAAACGCGGUGAUGGAGGGGGCUCUAAUGCAUUAUCCUCCAGGCUAGCUGGUUCUGAUAUUGUACAUUUGUGGGAUCCCAAAAGUUUUCAUGGUUCUACGUCUGUAACUGUCAGAUGUGCCACAAUAGUUGCAUUAGGUGGUCGCUUGGAUUGGGCAGAUGCACUAUGCUCUUUUUUCAUUAUUCCUUGUGAAAAUGAAGCGGAACAGUGUAACAAAAAGGAUGAAUUUAGUGCACCUCGCAGAUCUUCCUUUGUUCUUAACUUGGUUGAUAUUGGAUUAAGUUAUGAGCCCUACCUCAAGAAUGUGGUGGUCAGGCGUGAAGCUUCAGAUUCUGAGCCUAAUUCUUCAUCUUUCAAGGAAGAGACGGGUGAGGAACAUGUUUCUUGUCUUUUGGCUGCAUCUUCCUUGAAUCUUUCAAACUCAACCAGGGCAGGCUCAGUAGAAAAUGAUUACAGAAUAAGAGUGCAAGAUCUUGGACUUCUCCUCUGUUUAAUGUCAAAGCCUGAGGAUGUUGGUGGCAUUUAUAGUGCAGUACAUCUUCACAAGAUUGGGUAUGUUAAAGUUGCCAGGGAGGCACUGGUAGAAGCAACUUUGAGAACUAAUUGUAAUAGUGGCCUUCUCUGGGAGGUAGAAUGUUCAAAAUCUCACAUCUAUGUGGAAACUUGCCAUGACACCAUGUCCAGUCUGUUUCGUUUAGCUGCCCAACUUCAACAGCUAUUUGCCCCUGACAUGGAGGAAUCAGUCGUGCAUUUGCAGACUAGAUGGAAUAAGGUACAGCAGGAACAAGAGAGCAGAGGUUUUCAUGAUGAAGCAAGGAACUGUGGUAGUGAUCCUUUACAAGCAACUUCUCAAUUGCACACUUCUGGUGCAGUUACAGAGAGUGAAACUCAGUUGGUUGGGUUAAUGGAUGAGAUAUGUGAUGAUGCAUUUCUUUCGGAUAAGAAUCAGACCUGCCAUUCUGAGUCGCAAAUUGGUAUCUCAUUUGAUCAAGACCUUGGAGAGGCUCAUUAUUCCAGCAUUGCAACUCCUGAUAUUCUUUCACUUGGUGCACCUUAUAAUGGGUCAGUGCCUGAAGCAGAGUUGGAAAGUAGUCAAACAUCAUUUCUGCAAGAAGGUAAUGUUCUGGAGUUAAUAGAAGGGUAUUGUUUGUCUGAUUUACGGCCUCUCUCGGAAUUAUCUGCCAACAGACAGUCAUCGAAUGAGAUUCUAAAAUGCAAAUCCAAGAAUUUCAUAAAUGGAGAUGUUGGAGGAGAUAGUAAUGGAUGGUAUGGUACUUCCAUUAGCAUUUUAGAAAACCACAUUCCUGAAGCAUGUGAAAAUAGUGUGAAACAAUCUGCCGAAGACAAUCUUCCUUUUACUGAAGGUAUAAAGUGCAAUGAUUUUGGAAAAGCCAUUGGACGUGUACUUCUUAAGAACAUUGAUGUUAGGUGGAGAAUGCUUUCUGGGUCAGACUGGCACGAUUCUAGAUCAACUGGUCAGCGAUCAGUGGAUUUUAGCGGAAGGGAUGCUACUGUAUGUUUAGAGCUUGCACUAUCCGGAAUGGAGUUUCAGUAUGACAUUUUUCCCGUCGGUGGAAUCUGUGUAUCUAAGCUCUCUCUUUCAGUUCAAGAUUUUUGUCUAUAUGACAGCAGCAAAGAGGCUCCUUGGAAACUGGUACUUGGAUAUUAUCAUUCAAAGGACCGACCUCGAAAAUCAUCUUCGAAAGCAUUCAAGCUGGACUUAGAAUCUGUCAGACCAGAUCCUUUAACUCCUCUUGAAGAGUAUCGGUUACGUGUUGCACUCCUUCCCAUGCUAUUGCAUCUUCAUCAGUCCCAACUUGAUUUUCUCAUUAACUUCUUUGCGGCAAAGAGCUCUUCAACUGAUCAUUCUCCGGGUGGUCAUCAUGAUGCUGAUGGUUCAAAAGUCUUGCCGGUAAAAAGUAAUGAUCUUGCAGGGCAUACCAUUGAAGAGGAGGCAUUUCUUCCUUAUUUUCAGAAGUUCGAUAUAUGGCCUAUUCUAGUUCGGGUUGACUACAGUCCCAGCCGUGUUGAUCUGGCAGCAUUAAGAGGCGGGAAGUAUGUUGAACUUGUAAAUCUUGUUCCAUGGAAGGGCAUUGAGCUACAGCUUAAGCAUGUUCAUGCUGUUGGUAUCUAUGGAUGGGGCAGUGUAUGUGAGACAAUUAUAGGAGAGUGGCUAGAAGAGAUUUCUCAAAAUCAGAUUCAUAAAAUAUUGAGAGGUCUUCCAACAAUUCGGUCGUUUGUAGCAGUUAGUGCUGGUGCAAGGAAGUUGGUUUCUUUGCCAAUUGAGAGUUACAGGAAGGACAAAAAACUACUUAAGGGAAUGCAAAGAGGUACAAUUGCAUUUCUUAGAAGUAUUUCUCUUGAAGCUGUUGGACUUGGAGUACAUUUGGCCGCCGGGGCAUAUGAUAUUUUGCUCCAAGCGGAAUAUUUACUUACAGGCAUUCCUUCUGCGCAUUGGUCUGUACCACAUAAAAUGAAAACCAACGUUCGAUCUAAUCAACCUAUAGAUGCUCAACAAGGAAUUCAUCAGGCUUAUGAAAGCCUUAGUGAUGGCCUGGGGAAAUCUGCUUCUGCCUUGAUACGGACUCCUUUGAAAAAAUACCAGCGUGGAGCUGGUGCAGGACCAGCUUUGGCCACUGCUGCUCGGGCAGUUCCUGCAGCUGCUAUAACUCCUGCUUCUGCUUGUGCUAGUGCUGUGCACUGUGCUCUUCUUGGCUUCAGAAAUAGCCUUGAUCCUGAGCGUAAGAAAGAGUCCAUUGAGAAAUAUCUGGGUCCCCCUCAACCAUGGGAACAAAACUAAUGGUGAUUAAACGCACGACUGAAAUCUUGAACUUCCUGUAUUCCUGGAGAAGAGGAGAUUGGUAACGCGCCAUCUGUUCUUGCAUUAUAACAUAUGUAUCGUGUGUACAGUUACUGGAACUAUUUGCCGGAUUCUUUCCAUCAGAACAAGACCAUCUGGUAGUUCUGUACAAAAUGUAAAUUUCCAAAUAGUGCUCAUAAUUCUUAGCAUACCCCAACAGACGUUGUAGAUAUGGUGUGCGAUUGGCUUAGUUAGGAAUUCUUUUAAAAGGCAUCAAGUGUGUUGCUUUGUGUUUGUUGUAAAUAUUUAUUCAAAUAUUGUUUCUCAACGGGCAAGGUUGCUAGUCAGGAAGAUUUGUUGUGCCUUUGUGGAUCA
RNA transcript from Pyrus x bretschneideri (Chinese white pear), 6463 nucleotides. It is a transcript of the gene named autophagy-related protein 2, with no coding region annotated. The transcript is spliced from 15 exons. NCBI's taxonomy places the organism in Eukaryota, Viridiplantae, Streptophyta, Magnoliopsida, Rosales, Rosaceae. The record is from RefSeq and is a predicted model, not a curated record.